Molecule: non-coding RNA, 821 nt
Filed under: Cherax holthuisi
Lineage: Eukaryota; Metazoa; Arthropoda; Malacostraca; Decapoda; Parastacidae
Source: RNAcentral
UAAAAGUUUGAUUCUUGCUUAAACUUUUAUUUUAUAAUUAAUGUACAUGUGUAUCUUGGUGGGUAGGGAAUAAAAAGAUUAAAGAUAGUUUAUAAUGAAAUAAAGAUUUUUUGAUUAUUCGCAGUAUGGGAGAUUGAAUAUUAGAUUAAGGUUUGAUUUAGUAAAUUAUAAAAAGUUUGAUUAAAUUUUGUGCCAGCAAUCGCGGUUAGACUUAAAAGCUUAGUAAAAGCAUUUUAGUUAAGGUUAUUCUUAUAUUUAGAGGUAAACGAAAGUUUAUAACAAUAGAAGGUGAAAUUGGUUUAUUGUGGGUAAAUAGAAGUUGAAUAUUAAAGAAGAAAAAGCCUAAAAAUUAAGAUAUAAACCAGGAUUAGGUACCCUGUUAUACUUGAAGGGUAAAAAUAAAACUUGAAUAUUAGUAGUUAUGGGCUUUAAAUUCAAAGAAUUUGGCGGUAUUUUAGUCUUGUUAGAGGAACCUGUUCUGUAAACGAUACAACACGAAAAAUCUUACUUACUUUUGUUUAACAGUUUGUAUACCGUCAUUAUUAGAUUACCUUCGUAGAGAAAGUUAUUGAAAUUUAAGAAGUUGAAGUAUAUUAGAUCAAGGUGCAGUUUAUAAGUAAGAAGAAAUGGGUUACAAUAAAAUUUAUUUAUACGUAUCAGUAAUUGAAUAGUUUCUGUGAAGGAGGAUUUAAUUGUAACAUAUAAUUUAAUAAGUUAGUGUGAUAUGAGAACUAAAAUAUGUACAUAUCGCCCGUCGCUUCCAUUUAAGGUGGAAUAAGUCGUAACAUAGUAGGUGUACUGGAAGGUGUACCUAGAAUUAA